This 927-nucleotide ribosomal RNA is filed under the name Ralstonia sp. AJ2. Its description in RNAcentral is "bacterial SSU rRNA". It matches the Rfam family "Bacterial small subunit ribosomal RNA", at positions 72 to 993 of the family's 1533-position model. The record is from RNAcentral. Lineage: Bacteria; Pseudomonadati; Pseudomonadota; Betaproteobacteria; Burkholderiales; Burkholderiaceae.
GAGAAGCUUGCUUUUCCUGCCGGCGAGUGGCGAACGGGUGAGUAAUACAUCGGAACGUGCCCUGUAGUGGGGGAUAACUAGUCGAAAGAUUAGCUAAUACCGCAUACGACCUGAGGGUGAAAGUGGGGGACCGCAAGGCCUCAUGCUAUAGGAGCGGCCGAUGUCUGAUUAGCUAGUUGGUGGGGUAAAGGCCUACCAAGGCGACGAUCAGUAGCUGGUCUGAGAGGACGAUCAGCCACACUGGGACUGAGACACGGCCCAGACUCCUACGGGAGGCAGCAGUGGGGAAUUUUGGACAAUGGGCGAAAGCCUGAUCCAGCAGUGCCGCGUGUGUGAAGAAGGCCUUCGGGUUGUAAAGCACUUUUGUCCGGAAAGAAAUGGCUCUGGUUAAUACCUGGGGUCGAUGACGGUACCGGAAGAAUAAGGACCGGCUAACUACGUGCCAGCAGCCGCGGUAAUACGUAGGGUCCAAGCGUUAAUCGGAAUUACUGGGCGUAAAGCGUGCGCAGGCGGUUGUGCAAGACCGAUGUGAAAUCCCCGAGCUUAACUUGGGAAUUGCAUUGGUGACUGCACGGCUAGAGUGUGUCAGAGGGGGGUAGAAUUCCACGUGUAGCAGUGAAAUGCGUAGAGAUGUGGAGGAAUACCGAUGGCGAAGGCAGCCCCCUGGGAUAACACUGACGCUCAUGCACGAAAGCGUGGGGAGCAAACAGGAUUAGAUACCCUGGUAGUCCACGCCCUAAACGAUGUCAACUAGUUGUUGGGGAUUCAUUUCCUUAGUAACGUAGCUAACGCGUGAAGUUGACCGCCUGGGGAGUACGGUCGCAAGAUUAAAACUCAAAGGAAUUGACGGGGACCCGCACAAGCGGUGGAUGAUGUGGAUUAAUUCGAUGCAACGCGAAAAACCUUACCUACCCUUGACAUGCCUCU